RNAcentral lists this small nuclear RNA (328 nucleotides) under Microcebus murinus (gray mouse lemur). Its description in RNAcentral is "7SK RNA (ENSMICG00000024183.3)". It matches the Rfam family "7SK RNA". From Rfam's summary of the family: 7SK was discovered as an abundant small nuclear RNA in the mid-70s but a possible function has only recently been suggested. The record is from Rfam by way of RNAcentral. Lineage: Eukaryota; Metazoa; Chordata; Mammalia; Primates; Cheirogaleidae.
GGCUGUGAGGGAGAUCUGGCUGUGACAUCUGUCACCACAUGGGUUGUGGUUGAUUAGACUGGGUUAAUUAGACUGAUCUGGCUGGCGAGGCAGGUGUCCUGUUCCUCUCUCACUGCUCCUUGAGGGUCCUUCCCAAAGCUGAGUGCUCAGUUGAAGAGGACGACCUUCCCUGGUAGAGGAGGAUGGAUCUUCGGUCAAGGGUAUACAAAUAGGUGCACUUCCCUGUGUUCUACUCCAGACAAGAAAGGUGGCUCUCUCUCUGUAGGGAGAGGAUUUACACUUUGUCCUUCCUCAUUCUUAUGGUACCUUUUAGGGAAAGCCCAACUGA